AUUGAACGCUGGCGGCAUGCCUAACACAUGCAAGUCGAACGAGUGGCGGACGGGUGUGUAAUGUCUGGGAAACUGCCCGAUGGAGGGGGAUAACUACUGGAAACGGUAGCUAAUACCGCAUACCAUCGGAUGUGCCCCGAUGGGCUUAGCUAGUAGGUGGGGUAACGGCUCACCUAGGCGACGAUCCCUAGCUGGUCUGAGAGGAUGACCAGGCACACGGGAAAUGAGACACGGUCCAGACUCCUACGGGAGGCAGCAGUGGGGAAUAUUGCACAAUGGGCGCAAGCCGGAUGCAGCCAUGCCGCGUGUAUGAAGAAGGCCUUCGGGUUGUAAAGGACUUUCAGCGAGGAGGCGUUACUCGCAGAAGAAGCACCGGCUAACUCCGUGCCAGCAGCCGCGGUAAUUC
RNAcentral lists this ribosomal RNA (406 nucleotides) under uncultured bacterium. RNAcentral's name for it is "partial 16S ribosomal RNA". It matches the Rfam family "Bacterial small subunit ribosomal RNA", at positions 30 to 526 of the family's 1533-position model. The record is from RNAcentral.